AUGUUUGUUAGGCAUAAAGAGAAAUAUAAUUUUCAUGUGAGGCUGCAAGUUGAUGUGCUUGAGCAGGCAUUUGGACCUAGGAUGACCGGUGCAACAUCUCGGGGAGAACCAAGUCGUCGUAAUGGCAUCUCUAGCCAGAACAGUUCAGUUGGUGCACGGCAACGUGGUGGCUCGACAAGUGUGGGCAACAGCAGUAGGGUCCCCCUUGAAGUGGAGCCUGAUGACUAUAAUUCUGGGGUUGAUGAAGAGAACACUACUGGAACAUUCUACAGAAUUUACGACGGGCACCUCGGACUGAAAACCAAGAUGAGGCUCACAAUGCAGUCCGUGUGGAUGAUGACGCGGUGGGUGAGGACGAAGACCUUGCAGCUGUUGAAUGGGACCCUUUGA
This 390-nucleotide ribosomal RNA is filed under the name Triticum aestivum (bread wheat). RNAcentral's name for it is "partial small subunit ribosomal RNA". The record is from RNAcentral. Lineage: Eukaryota; Viridiplantae; Streptophyta; Magnoliopsida; Poales; Poaceae.